This 253-nucleotide ribosomal RNA is filed under the name uncultured bacterium. Its description in RNAcentral is "partial 16S ribosomal RNA". It matches the Rfam family "Bacterial small subunit ribosomal RNA", at positions 524 to 776 of the family's 1533-position model. The record is from RNAcentral.
UACGAAGGGGGCUAGCGUUGUUCGGAAUUACUGGGCGUAAAGGGCGCGUAGGCGGCCUCACAAGUCAGGAGUGAAAUCCCUAGGCUCAACCUAGGAAUUGCUUUUGAGACUGUGGAGCUUGAGUGCAGGAGAGGUGAGUGGAAUUCCCAGUGUAGAGGUAAAAUUCGUAGAUAUUGGGAGGAACACCGGUGGCGAAGGCGGCUCACUGGCCUGUAACUGACGCUGAGGCGCGAAAGCGUGGGGAGCAAACAGG